Molecule: non-coding RNA, 1357 nt
Organism: Osmia lignaria (orchard mason bee)
Lineage: Eukaryota; Metazoa; Arthropoda; Insecta; Hymenoptera; Megachilidae
Source: RefSeq, a predicted model, not a curated record
GUGCCUGAAACAGGAACUUUGUAUUAAAAUGAACUAAAGAAAAAAUUAUAACUGUACAAUUUGUUACUAUUACUAACAUGUUUAAAGCAAGACACUGGGGCAGCACAAAAACCAGGUUCAACCAGUUGUGGGGUCCAGUCAUAAGAACCUGCCAUAUCAGCAGUUCUUUUCCUUCUUACAGAUUCACUUGGAGAAGAUGGAUUUACAGAUACAGGUGUCUCUACUGAAUGUGAUGGACUAUACGUAGAGUCAGCAGUAGGAGCGGUAUGUUCCGAAGAUCUUGCACACGCUCUACUACAGAAUCUACGUUCUUUCGUGUAAAAUGCAUGUUUUACACCAAUAGCACCACAUUUUUCGCAAACAGCUGUCAGAAACAAAAUAACUUUAUAAAUAUGUACCAUAAAUAUAUAGACGCAUUCUAUAACUUACCUAUACCAUCUUUACGAAUAGGAAUAAAAUUUAAGUCUGUAUGAGGUUGGUAUGCAAUGGGUGUUUUUAAAACAAGCCCAGGAUGUUUUAUAGGUUUUAUUUUCCUAUUACGAUUGUCUUGAGUAGUUUGGGUUGCUGCAUUGUUUACAACUUGUUCCCGUUCUUCAUCACCCAUGUAAUCUUCUAAUGUUAAAUACUCUGCCAUUUCUUGUCUUUCAGACUGUGAAUCAUAUUCCUAAAGGAACAACAACAAUAAUGAUAAAUAAAAGGAAAAAUUUUCAUACAAGAAUGUAAGUAUUUAAAUUUAAAAAAAGGAAAUUUACCUGUUGUAUUUCCUGGGCAUCAACAGCUUCCAUAGCUUCAUCAGGUUCAGAACAUUCAUUAGAAAACUGAGGUGGUAAAUACCGUACCAUAGUAGUAGGUGCAAUUUGAUGAUUUCUAAUGUCUUCGUAUGGAUUUGAACCAUGAGAGAAGAAUGGACUUUCUGCUUGACGAGGAUCCAACAUAAGUUCAUGUGUAGGUUCUCCAUGUACCAUCAUAUCUCCCAUCCAUACCAUCCCUAAUUCCGGUAAUCCAGGGAUGGAAGCAUACACUGAAUUCAUACAAAUAUCCAUUCCUAUAUUCACAUAAUGAUUGCAAUAUUACUUUUAGACAGAUUUAAAUGUAAUUAUACUUUUUAAUAUGAAAUAAUAAAAUAAUGCGAUUAAAGCAGUAUCUUUCGUCACGAAACAAAAUUAUUGUAUCCAAAUAUACAGAUUUUAACUAGGCGAAGACACUCGAUAGACAGAAGCAUUCCUGGAUCAUACAGGAACAUUUAUUUAACAAAGUAUCCACAGUACACAAAAUAUAACACAGAGACUUUUGAAAUAAACGCUACUAUAUUUGAAUUCCAUUCAAUAUCGUAUAAAAUAUGAAAAAAAAAAAAAAA